This 497-nucleotide ribosomal RNA is filed under the name uncultured bacterium. RNAcentral's name for it is "partial 16S ribosomal RNA". It matches the Rfam family "Bacterial small subunit ribosomal RNA", at positions 28 to 507 of the family's 1533-position model. The record is from RNAcentral.
GAUGAACGCUGGCGGCGUGCCUAAUACAUGCGAGUCGAGCGAACAGACGAGGAGCUUGCUCCUCUGACGUUAGCGGCGGACGGGUGAGUAACACGUGGAUAACCUACCUAUAAGACUGGGAUAACUUCGGGAAACCGGAGCUAAUACCGGAUAAUAUAUUGAACCGCAUGGUUCAAUAGUGAAAGACGGUUUUGCUGUCACUUAUAGAUGGAUCCGCGCCGCAUUAGCUAGUUGGUAAGGUAACGGCUUACCAAGGCAACGAUGCGUAGCCGACCUGAGAGGUUGAUCGGCCACACUGGAACUGAGACACGGUCCAGACUCCUACGGGAGGCAGCAGUAGGGAAUCUUCCACAAUGGGCGAAAGCCUGACGGAGCAACGCCGCGUGAGUGAUGAAGGUCUUCGGAUCGUAAAGCUCUGUUAUUAGGGAAGAACAAAUGUGUAAGUAACUAUGCACGUCUUGACGGUACCUAAUCAGAAAGCCACGGCUAACUACGUG